This 408-nucleotide ribosomal RNA is filed under the name uncultured Methylomirabilota bacterium. RNAcentral describes it as "bacterial SSU rRNA". It matches the Rfam family "Bacterial small subunit ribosomal RNA", at positions 1027 to 1434 of the family's 1533-position model. Lineage: Bacteria; Methylomirabilota (SeqCode). The record is from RNAcentral.
CGUGGAGACAGGUGGUGCAUGGCUGUCGUCAGCUCGUGUCGUGAGAUGUUGGGUUAAGUCCCGCAACGAGCGCAACCCUCACCUCUUGUUGCCAUCAGGCCAUGCUGGGCACUCUAGAGGAACUGCCCCGGUCAACGGGGAGGAAGGCGGGGGUGACGUCAAGUCAUCAUGCCCCUUACGUCCUGGGCUACACACGUGCUACAAUGGCCGGUACAAAGGGAUGCCACACCGCGAGGUAGAGCUAAACCCAAAAAGCCGGUCUAAGUUCAGAUUGGAGUCUGCAACUCGACUCCAUGAAGGAGGAAUCGCUAGUAAUCGCGUAUCAGCACGACGCGGUGAAUACGUUCCCGGGCCUUGUACACACCGCCCGUCACACCACGAAAGCCUGCUGUACUCGAAGUCGCUGAG